GACGAACGCUGGCGGCGUGCCUAAUACAUGCAAGUAGAACGCUGAAGGAGGAGCUUGCUUCUCUGGAUGAGUUGCGAACGGGUGAGUAACGCGUAGGUAACCUGCCUGGUAGCGGGGGAUAACUAUUGGAAACGAUAGCUAAUACCGCAUAAUAGUAGAUGUUGCAUGACAUUUGCUUAAAAGGUGCAAUUGCAUCACUACCAGAUGGACCUGCGUUGUAUUAGCUAGUUGGUGGGGUAACGGCUCACCAAGGCGACGAUACAUAGCCGACCUGAGGGGGGGAUCGGCCACACUGGGACUGAGACACGGCCCAGACUCCUACGGGAGGCAGCAGUAGGGAAUCUUCGGCAAUGGACGGAAGUCUGACCGAGCAACGCCGCGUGAGGGAAGAAGGGUUUCGGAUCGUAAAGCUCUGUUGUAAGAGAAGAACGAGUGUGAGAGUGGAAAGUUCACACUGUGACGGUAUCUUACCAGAAAGGGACGGCUAACUACGUG
This 495-nucleotide ribosomal RNA is filed under the name uncultured bacterium. Its description in RNAcentral is "partial 16S ribosomal RNA". It matches the Rfam family "Bacterial small subunit ribosomal RNA", at positions 28 to 507 of the family's 1533-position model. The record is from RNAcentral.